Grus americana (Whooping crane) is the source of this 1246-nucleotide long non-coding RNA. RefSeq lists it as uncharacterized. NCBI's taxonomy places the organism in Eukaryota, Metazoa, Chordata, Aves, Gruiformes, Gruidae. The transcript is spliced from 2 exons. The record is from RefSeq and is a predicted model, not a curated record.
CUGGGUUGCUCACAGGGCAAUUUAUUGUAUUAUUGCAGGUGUCCAGAAGAUUUGCAGAACAGACUCACGGGUGCACAGUGGGUGUACUCUCUGCCCUCAGGGGGUUUGCAGAGGAUGGUCUGCAGGUGCUGGAAGUCAAAGGAUCAUCGAUCAUCGCCUCCUCAGAAAUUCCUCUGCUGCCUUGAGAAGACUGUUGUAACCACAGAAGCCUCUUCCUAACAAUGGCUAUAGGAUUGCCCAGAAUUAUUUCUUGCAAAGACCCUGAAAUUGAAGUUGAAAUUGCUUUAAGAGGAUGAUAUGCUUGCCUGAAGAUGCCUAGUUGCUAUCAGCUCAUUUGGAUUACUGAACAAGCCUUCCUCCACCCUGCAAAACACUGAUUUCUUCACAAAGCUGAAAUUUUAGUGCUUUGAGUUUAACCAUGUAUUUAGUGUGUAAACCUAGAAAAGCAUUUUCUAGUGCAGCUAUUUGGUGAGACUCUGUGUUUUGGAGGCUUUUUUCCAGGGAAUGCUGCACAAUAAUGAAUACCGAAUAGAAUGCAGGUAAAUUUUAAUGAGUAGCGCUUGUGUGCUGAACAUAUGUUGAAAUGAAUGCAUAAUUAAAAAAGAUUUGUUCAUGAAGGUUCACCUGAGAUUUGAGUAGCAGCAACCUAAAAUGAACGUUGCUGUUCUUGAUGUAUGCCAAUUUGUCAAGAUUUCUGAGCAUAGAGCAGGAACAGCAAGGGAAACUUGCUUUGCUGUAAAAUAUCAGUUGUAUUAAUUUGCACUAGAAUUGGUCAAUCUUUGAAGCAAAGUGAAGCUUUGAAGAGAAGAGUUGAAUUAAAUAAUUGCAAAUAAUUGUAAUAGUAUUUUUAUGUGUUAUGCCUACAGAAAGACUAGAUAGCACUGAUGGAUGCACAUUUCUUACGGCAAGAGGCUCAGUACUUGACUAGAAUGAAAGAAACAUUACUGCUUUGCAUAAGGUGGCUUUCCAAAGCCCAGCUCGUUUAUAUGUAUGUAGCCUCCUAACUUGCUGUUUUGUGUUUUCCUGCAUCUUAUUUACAUGGUAUCUGCUUUGUGUCAACUAUUCAUAGCAAACGUGGUUUUUACUUCCCACCUUGGAUGCAGCCAAAUAAUGUAUGUUAACUAUCCAUGAAGUAAAUUAUGAUGUUUAGAUUAAUUAUUGAGCCAAGAAGCCAAGUAAUAUAUGUGUAUAAAUCUUUCUGGAGAUCGAAGUCAUGGUAUGGAUUGUGGUUUAAAUAACUUUUUUC